AUGAUCCGGCGUCGCCCUCCGCUGCCUCAGCACGCAGGCCGUUCACCUUCACCACCCCUGGCCGUUCACCACCACCACCAGCGCCCGUUCAAUGCCGCCCCAACAACCCAGUGCGACUUUGUCUCUCUCAACUUAAAAAGCGGUUCAGCUCAGUGCAUGUCAGACAUUAAAGCAAUAUUCUGUAGUAGCUUCAAAAAAUGCAAAUGGUCAUGUUUCCACAAGACUGACGGAACACUGCCAAUUGAAUUGAGCACUAGCGGAACUGUGAAGGUUCGUUCUAUAAAAUUGCAUCAGUUCGCUAGCAAAAUCAAAUUCAGUUCAUCUGCCCUUUGUUAG
RNAcentral lists this ribosomal RNA (336 nucleotides) under Triticum aestivum (bread wheat). Its description in RNAcentral is "partial small subunit ribosomal RNA". The record is from RNAcentral. Lineage: Eukaryota; Viridiplantae; Streptophyta; Magnoliopsida; Poales; Poaceae.